This 426-nucleotide ribosomal RNA is filed under the name uncultured cyanobacterium. RNAcentral describes it as "bacterial SSU rRNA". It matches the Rfam family "Bacterial small subunit ribosomal RNA", at positions 356 to 795 of the family's 1533-position model. Lineage: Bacteria; Bacillati; Cyanobacteriota. The record is from RNAcentral.
GGGGAAUUUUCCGCAAUGGGCGAAAGCCUGACGGAGCCAUACCGCGUGUAGGAUGACACCCCUCGGGGCGUAAACUACUUUUCUGAAGGAAGACAUUCUGACGGUACUUCAGGAAUAAGCGUCGGCUAACUACGUGCCAGCAGCCGCGGUAAUACGUAGGACGCAAGCGUUAUUCGGAAUCACUGGGCGUAAAGCGAUCGAAGGCGGAUCAGUAAGCGAGGUGUUAAAUACCCACGGCUCAACCGGGGUGCUGCAUUUCGAACUGCUGGACUAGAGGAAUGCAGAGGUAGCUGGAAUUCUUGUUGUAGGGGUUAAAUCCGUAGAUAACAAGAGGAACACCAAAAGCGAAGGCAGGCUACUGGGCAUUUUCUGACGCUGCGCGAUCGAAAGCGUGGGGAGCGAAAGGGAUUAGAUACCCCUGUAGUC